RNAcentral lists this long non-coding RNA (837 nucleotides) under Vulpes vulpes (red fox). Its description in RNAcentral is "lncRNA (ENSVVUG00000001543.1)". The record is from RNAcentral. Lineage: Eukaryota; Metazoa; Chordata; Mammalia; Carnivora; Canidae.
GACAUCGAAUAAUUUUUCAGGGUUAAUUUUCUUCCUCUUGUCUAAUUUUUUUUUUUUUAAGUUUGGAGUCAUUGUCUGAAGAUUAUUAGACCCAUCCUAUCCUGGCAAGGAUGCUGUAUCCCAAGGAUUCUGCUUCCAUCCCAAGGACAGCUCUUCUGCACUUUGCCAAUUUCUGUGCUCCUUCUACCGACCCUGAGUUUUUAUUUAGAAGGUCAAAUGCUUGAGAGAGAACUUGAUAAAACAGCCAAGAGGGACACGAAGAUCUGAACUCUUUGGUCUCCUUUGGCUUUUGACCUGAAUCCCAUGUACACUUGAGUUUAGCAGGCCUCAGAAUGACCAAAGACAAGAAGCUAAUUGGCCUUUGCCUUCUCAGAAAGGUCCUCUUUCUCAAGUUCUCUGGACCAUCAAGCUUUCUCCAGCAAUCUGAAGUGCAAUGAUUGAACACAGCUUAAUUAAUGAUGACAGGAGGCAGCACUGAGAGGCGGAGCCACGGUUGGAAGGGAGCCUGUAUCCCGAGUCAAGACUUAGAAGAAAUCCACCUGGGAAAUCCACCUAACCAGCAUCAGAAUGCAAAGUGGACUAGAAACAAAACAGCAGUAUUAAGUCACUAAAGUUCUAGGAUUUUUCUGGGGGAAGCUAGUAGCACUAAUAACCCUGACUAGGACAGCCUUAGACAGUAAAUGUGACUGACCAGUGUUGAAAUCUUAUUAUUAAAAUAGCCAUGGCAUUUCACAGCAAUAAUCAUUUGUUUUGCCUCCAGAUUUCCCAUUAAAGUACACAGAUAAAAAUAUAAUGUAUUAUGUGAUCAAAAGGCAUGAUGACAUUUGCUGAAGUCAG